Molecule: ribosomal RNA, 588 nt
Filed under: uncultured Burkholderiaceae bacterium
Lineage: Bacteria; Pseudomonadati; Pseudomonadota; Betaproteobacteria; Burkholderiales; Burkholderiaceae
Description: bacterial SSU rRNA
Rfam family: Bacterial small subunit ribosomal RNA
Source: RNAcentral
ACUCCUACGGGAGGCAGCAGUGGGGAAUUUUGGACAAUGGGCGCAAGCCUGAUCCAGCCAUUCCGCGUGAGUGAAGAAGGCCUUCGGGUUGUAAAGCUCUUUCGGCAGGGAAGAAAUCGCGAGGGGUAAUAUCCCUCGCGGAUGACGGUACCUGAAGAAGAAGCACCGGCUAACUACGUGCCAGCAGCCGCGGUAAUACGUAGGGUGCGAGCGUUAAUCGGAAUUACUGGGCGUAAAGGGUGCGCAGGCGGUUUUUUAAGCCAGAUGUGAAAGCCCCGGGCUCAACCUGGGAACUGCGUUUGGAACUGAAAGACUAGAGUGUGUCAGAGGGAGGUGGAAUUCCACGUGUAGCAGUGAAAUGCGUAGAUAUGUGGAGGAACACCGAUGGCGAAGGCAGCCUCCUGGGAUAACACUGACGCUCAUGCACGAAAGCGUGGGGAGCAAACAGGAUUAGAUACCCUGGUAGUCCACGCCCUAAACGAUGUCAACUGGUUGUUGGGGAAGCAAUUCCUUAGUGACGAAGCUAACGCGAGGAGUUGACCGCCUGGGGAGUACGGUCGCAAGAUUAAAACUCAAAGGAAUUGACGG